Molecule: transfer RNA, 65 nt
Filed under: Trinomys yonenagae
Lineage: Eukaryota; Metazoa; Chordata; Mammalia; Rodentia; Echimyidae
Description: tRNA-Lys
Source: RNAcentral
CAUUAUGAAGCUAAUUAGCGUUAACCUUUUAAGUUAAAGAUUGGGAAUAUUAAGCCCCAUAAUGA